GAUGAACGCUGGCGGCGUGCCUAAUACAUGCAAGUCGAGCGAACAGACGAGGAGCUUGCUCCUCUGACGUUAGCGGCGGACGGGUGAGUAACACGUGGAUAACCUACCUAUAAGACUGGGAUAACUUCGGGAAACCGGAGCUAAUACCGGAUAAUAUAUUGAACCGCAUGGUUCAAUAGUGAAAGACGGUUUUGCUGUCACUUAUAGAUGGAUCCGCGCCGCAUUAGCUAGUUGGUAAGGUAACGGCUUACCAAGGCAACGAUGCGUAGCCGACCUGAGAGGGUGAUCGGCCACACUGGAACUGAGACACGGUCCAGACUCCUACGGGAGGCAGCAGUAGGGAAUCUUCCGCAAUGGGCGAAAGCCUGACGGAGCAACGCCGCGUGAGUGAUGAAGGUCUCCGGAUCGUAAAACUCUGUUAUUAGGGAAGAACAAAUGUGUAAGUAACUAUGCACGCCUUGACGGUACCUAAUCAGAAAGCCACGGCUAACUACGUG
Molecule: ribosomal RNA, 497 nt
Filed under: uncultured bacterium
Lineage: Bacteria
Description: partial 16S ribosomal RNA
Rfam family: Bacterial small subunit ribosomal RNA
Source: RNAcentral